This 1583-nucleotide unclassified non-coding RNA is filed under the name Leishmania donovani. Its description in RNAcentral is "gene:LdHU3.19.1120(CDS-product:peptidyl-prolyl_ci s-trans_isomerase_macrophage_infectivity_potentiator_precur sor_putative)". The record is from RNAcentral. Lineage: Eukaryota; Euglenozoa; Kinetoplastea; Trypanosomatida; Trypanosomatidae.
UGGGAACUUCGCUUGCUGGCUGGCUGAGUUCUCGUUCGAUUCCCUCGCGCAUCUUUUCGUUCGGCGCAUGUUCAUACCCUCACUUCUUCCAGAAGAAAGAUAACUCUACUUCCCCCCCCUCCCUUCCCCCCUCCCCUAAUUAGGUAACCCGUAAUUUUUACAUGACUCGCUUCUCCUCUCUGCACAGCGUGCUCGCCACUGCCGCCACGCUGCUGCUGACACUCUGCGUGCUGAGCGUCGAGGCCAGCUACUGGUCGGAGGAAGUGAACCGCGUGCGCACGUACGCGGCGGUCAACUACCUGGAGCGCAUUGCAAAGCAGCCGAACGUGUCCGCGCUGCCUUCUGGGCUCCUCUUCACAAUCGAGCGUCGCGGCUUCGGCGACCGUGCCCCGGCGGCGGAGGACAAGUGUGAGAUGCAUUAUACGAUCCACUACCGCUUUCCCGGCAUUGUGGAGAGCACGCGCCACCACCCCUACCCGGUGCGGCGCUCGCCGUCGCAGCUGAUCCCUGGCAUGGCUGAGGCGAUGCAGCUGAUGCGCGAAGGUGACCGGUGGUACCUCCACGUGCCCUACCAGCUCGGCUACGGGAAGGAGGGCUGCAAGGAGAAGAAGGUGCCAAGUUUGUCGAACCUGCGCGUGGAGAUAGAGAUGUACAAGUGCGAGUCGGCGAGUGGUAAGACGAGCGCCGAAAUCGACGCGUAUCUCGCCAAGUACAUGAAGACACGGAUACCGGAAAAGGCGGCGCCGGUCGAUUACACGGAUUUGUAGAUCCGGUCCCUCGUCUGCCUCCCCCUGUGUGUGGUUGCCGUUUUUUUUUUCUCUGGGGUGUCGACGAAUUCGGUGCGAUGAGUAUCAUCUCUGCUUGAAGCGUCGUGAACGAUCACCGUUGCACGUCAUUUUUCGCGCUCUGGCCCCUCCCCUCCCUGUUUGUGGUAGUGUCUGUGGCGACGGCAGUGUCUCGUCUUGUAAGGCGAGAUGCGAGGAGAGCGGGAAAGAGAAGGCGCGAGCUGAAGGCGAGAGGGAUGGAUAGCAGGCAUAGCCUUGUGCGCUGCCACUGCAGCGUUGCAGAGAAGGCGCGCCGUGUCGUAUAUGUGGGUGCCCACGCUUCAGCACACGGUCACCUGGUUGUUGGUAGUUUGUUAGUGGCUGGCUUUCUUUUUUCGAGAGGGAGGAGAGGAAGGUUGACGACGUGUGUUGAAGGCCUGUGCGUGUGCGCUGAGAUGUUCGAUAAGGUGGCACUCGUGCCCGUAUCACCGUGCCAAGCACGCACAUAGAAAUAAGGGCGUGUACAACAAAGGGAAACGGGUAAAAAAGGCGAAAGGGUUGAAGUAGAGGCAAACGAAAAAUGUCCGAAAAGUCGAGGCGACAGUUACCCCGACUGCACCUGGCGAAUCUGAGUCGUACGUGGGCAUGCGAGCAUGGCUGACGUGAAGCAGUUGCGCGUGUCUGCGACCUUCCUGUUCAUGCGUCACCCGCGUGUGCUCGAAAAAAAAAGCACACAAACAAAUCGAUGAGCCUUGCCGCACGUGGACGUGUGCCGCGUUACUCGCCAGGGGAAGCUUGCAUCGUACAACGAGCGCAAAG